AGAGUUUGAUCAUGGCUCAGGAUGAACGCUGGCGGCGUGCCUAAUACAUGCAAGUCGAACGGAGUAGCAAUGCUGAGUGGCGACCGGGUGCGUAACACGUAGCUGACCUACCCCUCAGCGGGGGAUAACACACCGAAAGGUGUGCUAAUACCGCAUGACCUGUCGGCCAUUAGCAAACUGACAGAAAACUUCCGGGGUUGAGGGAGGGGGCUGCGGCCCAUCAGGUGGUUGGUGAGGUAACGGCUCACCAAGCCUACGACGGGUAGGGGGUCUGAGAGGAUGAUCCCCCACACUGGGACUGACAACGGCCCAGACUCCUACGGGAGGCAGCAGUAAGGAAUAUUGCGCAAUGGGCGAAAGCCUGACGCAGCAACGCCGCGUGGAGGAUGACGGGUUUCGGCUUGUAAACUCCUUUUGGGGGUGACGAGGAAGGACGGUAGCCCCCGAAUAAGUCACGGCUAACUACGUGCCAGCAGCCGCGGUAAAACGUAGGUGGCGAGCGUUAUCCGGAUUUACUGGGCGUAAAGGGUGUGCAGGCGGACGGUCAAGUGGUGUAUGAAAGCGCUGGGCUUAACUCAGCAAGCGUAGGCCAGACUGACGGUCUUGGGUGUGAGAGAGGGGCGUGGAAUUCCGGGUGUAGUGGUAAAAUGCGUAGAGAUCCGGAGGAACCCCAGAGGCGAAGGCGGCGCCCUGGCUCACAACCGACGCUCAGACACGAUAGCAUGGGUAGCGAACGGGAUUAGAAACCCCGGUAGUCCAUGCCGUAAACGAUGCACGCUAGGCGCUGGGGGACUGAACCCCUUCAGUGCCGUAGGUAACCUGAUAAGCGUGCCGCCUGGGGAGUACGACCGCAAGGUUAAAACUCAAAGGAAUUGACGGGGGCCCGCACAAGCAGCGGAGCGUGUGGUUUAAUUCGAGGCUACACGAAGAACCUUACCUGGGUUUGACAUGGCGUUGAACGAGAGUGAAAGCUUGAGGUCCGCAAGGCAGCGUCACAGGUGCUGCAUGGCUGUCGUCAGCUCGUGCCGUGAGGUGUUCGGUUAAGUCCGCAAACGAGCGCAACCCUCGGUGCUAGUUACACGUGUCUAGCACUACUGCCCGUGACAAGCGGGAGGAAGGUGGGGAUGACGUCAAGUCAGCAUGGCCUUUAUAUCCAGGGCUACACACACGCUACAAUGGUCGGUACAAUGGGUCGCCAAGCCGCAAGGCGGAGCAAAUCCUGCAAAGCCGAUCACAGUUCGAAUUGUGGGCUGCAACCCGCCCACAUGAAGCUGGAGUUGCUAGUAACCGCGCGUCAGCCAUAGUGCGGUGAAUACGUUCCCGGGCCUUGUACACACCGCCCGUCACGUCAUGGGAGCUGGUCACGCCUGAAGUCGGUGGGCUAACCGCAAGGGGGCAACCGCCGAGGGCAGGGCUGGUGACUGGGACGAAGUCGUAACAAGGUAACC
RNAcentral lists this ribosomal RNA (1448 nucleotides) under uncultured bacterium. RNAcentral describes it as "bacterial SSU rRNA". It matches the Rfam family "Bacterial small subunit ribosomal RNA". The record is from RNAcentral.